UCAAAACUGAACCGAAAAUGCAAGACUUGCUUUAAUUGUUUUCCUUUAAUUUCUUUCUGUAUUAUUUGCUAUUAUGGAACUCAUGUUAUUUACACUGUGCUAGAUCAAUACAUAUAAACACUGACAGAAAACAAUUAAAGCAAGUUUUGCAUUUUCGGUUCAGUUUUGA
This 169-nucleotide microRNA precursor is filed under the name Paramuricea clavata. Lineage: Eukaryota; Metazoa; Cnidaria; Anthozoa; Malacalcyonacea; Plexauridae. The record is from RNAcentral.